GUUCCGGGUGACACCAUGUGAAAUACUGUUCUUUAUAUUUAAAAAGGUAAAAGAGAUAGCAUUGUAGGGGGGCUGGUGACGUCACGUGCUAUGUAAACAACCCCUAUUAUCUCCAAAAGUAACAGAGAUAGAACCACAGUCUGAAUGGCACAAAUUGGCACAAAUGUAGCACAGAUAAAUGAGCCCAGUUUCGAGUUUUUAUGGCAUUUUAGGGGGGCUGGAGUGCUGUCACCUGCCAUGUAAACAACCUUUAAUAUCUCCAGAAGCAAAGGAGAUAGAACCGCGGUUUGAACAAAACAAAUCGGCACAAAUGUAGUACAAACGAAUGUGGGGGGGGCUGGAGUGAUGUCACUUCCGAAAUAAAUAAAUGUUACUAUCUCAAAAACUCCAGUGGCACAAAUUCUAAUAUUUACGGCACAAAUUAACACUAAUGAAUGAUGCUGUUUGUGUGGAGGCCAACUUCACAGAGCUCUACGCUGAUGAUACCCAGCUCUUCCUCUCCUUUCUACCUGGAGCAUCAAACAUUUCUGCACGCAUUGCUGCCUGCCUGUCAGACAUCUCUGCAUGGAUCACCAUCUCCAACUCAUCUUUCCAAAAUCUCCUGACCUCCGUUUCCCAGUUCCUGCUCCUUGUCUACAACUUCCUGGUUUGCCACGACUUCUCGCCUGUUUACUGGACAACGACUCUCGGAUUUGACCCUCGGAUUCCGUUCACAGAUCGCUGACCAUUGUACCUGUUUUCCUGACCAUGUCUACUGGAUUGCCCCUUGACUUCACUUCCUGUGCUCCGCACUUGGGUCCGAUAGCCAUGAGGAGUAGUUGCUGCUCCACACGGCGACCCAUGAUGAGGUAGCUGUUGCUGGC
Molecule: long non-coding RNA, 863 nt
Organism: Scleropages formosus (Asian bonytongue)
Lineage: Eukaryota; Metazoa; Chordata; Actinopteri; Osteoglossiformes; Osteoglossidae
Exons: 3
Source: RefSeq, a predicted model, not a curated record